Molecule: ribosomal RNA, 253 nt
Filed under: uncultured bacterium
Lineage: Bacteria
Description: partial 16S ribosomal RNA
Rfam family: Bacterial small subunit ribosomal RNA
Source: RNAcentral
UACUGAGGGUGCAAGCGUUAUCCGGAUUUCCUGGGUUUAAAGGUUGCGUAGGUGGAUUAGUAAGUCAGUGGUGAAAUCUCCGGGCUUAACCCGGAAACUGCCAUUGAUACUAUUAGUCUUGAAUAUCCUGGAGGUGAGCGGAAUAUGUCAUGUAGCGGUGAAAUGCUUAGAUAUGACAUAGAACACCAAUUGCGAAGGCAGCUCACGACGGGAUUAUUGACACUGAGGCACGAAAGCGUGGGGAUCAAACAGG